RNAcentral lists this ribosomal RNA (254 nucleotides) under uncultured bacterium. RNAcentral describes it as "partial 16S ribosomal RNA". It matches the Rfam family "Bacterial small subunit ribosomal RNA", at positions 524 to 776 of the family's 1533-position model. The record is from RNAcentral.
CACGUAGGGGGCAAGCGUUGUCCGGCUUUAUUGGGCGUAAAGAGCUCGUAGGCGGCUCAGUAAGUCGGGUGUGAAACCUCCAGGCUCAACCUGGAGACGCCACCUGAUACUGCUGUGGCUAGAGUCCGGUAGGGGAGCGUGGAAUUCCUGGUGUAGCGGUGAAAUGCGCAGAUAUCAGGAGGAACACCAGCGGCGAAGGCGGCGCUCUGGGCCGGAACUGACGCUGAGGAGCGAAAGCGUGGGUAGCAAACAGG